This 253-nucleotide ribosomal RNA is filed under the name uncultured bacterium. RNAcentral describes it as "partial 16S ribosomal RNA". It matches the Rfam family "Bacterial small subunit ribosomal RNA", at positions 524 to 776 of the family's 1533-position model. The record is from RNAcentral.
UACGGGGGGGGCAAGCGUUGUUCGGAAUUACUGGGCGUAAAGGGUUCGUAGGUGGCCAACUAAGUCAGACGUGAAAUCCCUCAGCUUAACUGGGGAACUGCGUCUGAGACUGGAUGGCUUGAGUGCAGGAGAGGAACGCGGAAUUCCAGGUGUAGCGGUGAAAUGCGUAGAUAUCUGGAGGAACACCGGUGGCGAAGGCGGCGUUCUGGACUGCUACUGACUCUGAGGAACGAAAGCCAGGGGAGCAAACGGG